RNAcentral lists this long non-coding RNA (1805 nucleotides) under Pongo abelii (Sumatran orangutan). RNAcentral's name for it is "lincRNA". The record is from RNAcentral. Lineage: Eukaryota; Metazoa; Chordata; Mammalia; Primates; Hominidae.
GAGCACGGCCUGGAUGUUGGGAUCCUCCUCCUAAGGGGGCUCAGCAGACUCUGGUUGACUGUGACAGCGGUGAUGCCUCCCAUGCCACUGGUCCCACCAUAGCCUCUGCCCAGGCCAGCCCGGAAACUGCUGCUGCCCACUAGGGAGAAGCUCGAAGAGCUGAUGCAGGCACUGGGCCCACUCAUGUAGGAGCGGCAUAGCAGCAUUUUUACAAUAAUCCAACAACCCUGUUGUUCAUUAAUAGCAUAAUUGAGAAAUAUAUUGUGAUAUAUUUAUACGAUGGAAACUAUUCAGCAAUGGGAAUGCCUGAACUACAGCACUAUGAAUCUUAUAGAUUGAGUACAUGAAGCAAGAUACAAAUCACUCCAUUUAUAUAAAUGUAAAAAAAAAAAAAAAAAAAAAAAAAAAAAAAAAACCUAGGCAGCAUAGCCAAACACUGUCUGUACAAAAAUGUAAAAUAAAAUUAGUUAGGUAUGGUAGAGCAUGAGUCCUAGCUACUCAGGAGGCUGAGGUGUGUGGAUCACUUGAACCAGGCUGCAGUGAGUCAUGACAUGACAGAGGGAGACCCUGUCUACUGUCUGUCCCUAUAGAAAAAGAAAAAAUCUCCUGGUAUCUUUUCCUGAAUUUGGCAGACAGGAUGGCCCAAGGAAAUGCAUCAGUGCAGAGGGACAGAAACAGCAGUGUGGCCUGGGAAAGAUACAGGAGUCACAGCUGCCACAGACAGCGAGUUGCAGCGCUUUGCAGGGGACAGCUCAUGGACCCAGGACUGGAGCCCAGAAUGACCAGGGUUCUGGGAGGUAACAGGGAAAAUGGCAGUGGGGUAGGCAGCAUGCCUGUCCCUGAGUCAUUCCCAGGCCUAGGUGUGUGUCUACAGGAUGGACUGUCAGUGGAGGAUAGGGUGCGUUGUAAGGUUGGGGGAGGAGGCAGGACCUCAGGGCAAACUCCUCUGACCCACAAGCCCCAGGCAUUCCAGAUGUCCACACAAAAAUUGGCUCUGAAUUAAAAGGCUGCAAGGUGGGGCUGGCUCUGUCCUAUUUUGAUAUGCUUUGAGGCAUUUGAUAAAGAUGUUAAUGGGAUCAUUCAUAAAUCAGGAAACUAAUCCUCUGAGGUGCUGGUUGUUAAUGAAGCAAGUGAGAAUCAGUAAGAUUAAAUCACAGAUUUCAAAAUCUCAGGCUGGAAUUUAAUCCCAGACCUUGAGUCCAGACUUCAUCUCAAACAGAUGGCAUGGUUCGAAACAUAUCCCGACUGCAGUAGUCACUUGGAAAUGAGUUCCCAGUAGUCCUUGCAGUUCAACCAAAGACUACUCCUGGGAAUGGGGCACGGAAAUGGGACGUCGGGGUGCAGCAAAGGCUUCCUGGAGGUGACCCCAAGGGAGAGUAGCCUAUAGUAGACACUCAUUAAAUAUUGGUAAAACAAAUGGAGUUAGUAGAUGAAGAAAUGGGGGAAGAGCAUUCCAGGCAGAGAUAAUACAGGGCCACCUGGCAGGGUCAAGAAGACUUGGGGCCCCUUGGCAUAUUAAAGUGGGCAGUGGUAGCAGUCUGUCCACAUGCAGGCUAGAAGGGGUGCAUAUCUAUAAAGAGCUUAACAAUAAUAGAUCCAACUAAAAGUUGGUCUGCCUUGUAUUAUUGCUGUGUGCCAGUGAUUUUUAAAUACUGUUGAAAUACUCCUCUCCUAAAAAAUCUUUUGUUGGUUUAAGUUUUAAAUAAUUGCUGUAGAUACUGAAUUUUAUUUGUACAUGUAAACUUCACACUAACCCAUUUUUAUUAGCGAUCCUUUAAUAAAUAUUGCAUUCUAUGUGGAAGUUC